UAUAGGACACAUGGGAUAGGGACAUAAGUGCCCCUUCUGUACCACCAAGAUGCUUUUUCUAGCAAGCUGAACUCAAACCAGAGAAGGGAUAGAGGGUUAUUGGUUCCCAGAACUGAGAAGAAAGGCUUCAUAUCCAGGUUUCCAGAAUCCGAAAGAACAAAUCACUAAUGGCAGUGUCACUGGACAAACAGAAGAGAGAUCAUUGGCUGAUAGAACACCACCUAGACAAUUCACCUUUCUAGUGGAAAAGAUGGGACUUUCACAAUAUACUCAUUGUUCAGCUGGAAACCCCACGAAGUUGUAACCUGAGCCCCUUACCCUGAGGGCACUCAAUGACCAUCUCCAUCCAGGGGUGUCCGUGGACUCCAGUGGAGAGUUAGCUUCCAGGGAGGCUGCUGAAUAACAACACUCACCCCAGGCUGACUUCAGGACUCACCCAGAGGUGAAACUAUCUUCCUACCUAAUGGCACUCGGCAUAUGAAGCCUGUCAGGAGAACAUCAUAAAUCGUGGAGAUGGGAAGCAGGAGCUGCAGCAAGAGCCACGCGAACCCUUUGUACUUAGGCGAACGAGUUAUUUAACACAUCAGGGAAGUGCAUUUAAUAAAUGAAGUCAGUGACUUGAGCGUGUCCUAUUCGAUCUAUACAGAGGUGGCUGAACUUUCUUUAAAAAGUCACUUUUAUGCUGGAUGCUUUUCUUAUGAAAUUUUCUACA
Long non-coding RNA from Cavia porcellus (domestic guinea pig), 712 nucleotides. RefSeq lists it as uncharacterized. The record is from RefSeq and is a predicted model, not a curated record. NCBI's taxonomy places the organism in Eukaryota, Metazoa, Chordata, Mammalia, Rodentia, Caviidae. The transcript is spliced from 4 exons.